This 450-nucleotide ribosomal RNA is filed under the name uncultured bacterium. Its description in RNAcentral is "partial 16S ribosomal RNA". It matches the Rfam family "Bacterial small subunit ribosomal RNA", at positions 354 to 796 of the family's 1533-position model. The record is from RNAcentral.
GUGGGGAAUCUUCCGCAAUGGACGAAAGUCUGACGGAGCAACGCCGCGUGAGUGAAGAAGGUUUUCGGAUCGUAAAGCUCUUUCGUUAGGGACGAACGUGCUCUUUGUGAAUAAUGAGGAGUAAUGACGGUACCUAAAUAAGAAGCCACGGCUAACUACGUGCCAGCAGCCGCGGUAAUACGUAGGUGGCAAGCGUUGUCCGGAAUUAUUGGGCGUAACGCGCGCGCAGGCGGGAUAUCAAGUCUGUCUUAAAAGUGCGAGGCUCAACCUCGUGAGGGGACAGAAACUGGUAUUCUUGAGUGUCGGAGAGGAAAGUGGAAUUCCAAGUGUAGCGGUGAAAUGCGUAGAGAUUUGGAAGAACACCAGUGGCGAAGGCGACUUUCUGGACGAUGUCUGACGCUGAGGCGCGAAAGCUAGGGGAGCGAACGGGAUUAGAUACCCUUGUAGUCC